GAUGAACGCUGGCGGCGUGCCUAAUACAUGCAAGUCGAGCGAACAGACGAGGAGCUUGCUCCUCUGACGUUAGCGGCGGACGGGUGAGUAACACGUGGAUAACCUACCUAUAAGACUGGGAUAACUUCGGGAAACCGGAGCUAAUACCGGAUAAUAUAUUGAACCGCUUGGUUCAAUAGUUAAAGACGGCUUUGCCGUCACUGAUAGAUGGAUCCGCGCCGCAUUAGCUAGUUGGUAAGGUAACGGCUUACCAAGGCAACGAUGCGUAGCCGACCUGAGAGGGUGAUCGGCCACACUGGAACUGAGACACGGUCCAGACUCCUACGGGAGGCAGCAGUAGGGAAUCUUCCGCAAUGGGCGAAAGCUUGACGGAGCAACGCCGCGUGAGUGAUGAAGGUCUUCGGAUCGUAAAACUCUGUUAUUAGGAAAGAACAAAUGUGUAAGUAACUAUGCACGUCUUGACGGUACCUAAUCAGAAAGCCACGGCUAACUACGUG
This 497-nucleotide ribosomal RNA is filed under the name uncultured bacterium. RNAcentral describes it as "partial 16S ribosomal RNA". It matches the Rfam family "Bacterial small subunit ribosomal RNA", at positions 28 to 507 of the family's 1533-position model. The record is from RNAcentral.